AUCCAGACUUUGAUUCUGGCUCAGGAUGAACGCUAGCUACGGGCUUAACACACGCAAGUCGAGGGGAAACGGCAUCGAAAGCUUGCUUUUGAUGGGCGUCGACCGGCGCACGGGUGAGUAACGCGUAUCCAACCUGCCCAUCACUUGGGGAUAACCUUGAGAAAGUAAGACUAAUACCCAAUGAUAUCCCACGAAGGCAUCUGAAUGGGAUUAAAGAUUUAUCGGUGAUGGAUGGGGAUGCGUCUGAUUAGCUUGUUGGCGGGGUAACGGCCCACCAAGGCAACGAUCAGUAGGGGUUCUGAGAGGAAGGUCCCCCACAUUGGAACUGAGACACGGUCCAAACUCCUACGGGAGGCAGCAGUGAGGAAUAUUGGUCAAUGGGCGAGAGCCUGAACCAGCCAAGUAGCGUGCAGGAUGACGGCCCUAUGGGUUGUAAACUGCUUUUAUAAGGGAAUAAAGUGAGUCUCGUGAGACUUUUUGCAUGUACCUUAUGAAUAAGGACCGGCUAAUUCCGUGCCAGCAGCCGCGGUAAUACGGAAGGUCCGGGCGUUAUCCGGAUUUAUUGGGUUUAAAGGGAGCGUAGGCCGGAGAUUAAGCGUGUUGUGAAAUGUAGUGGCUCAACCUCUGUACUGCAGCGCGAACUGGUCUUCUUGAGUACGCACAACGUGGGCGGAAUUCGUGGUGUAGCGGUGAAGUGCUUAGAUAUCACGAAGAACUCCGAUUGCGAAGGCAGCUCACGGGAGCGCAACUGACGCUGAAGCUCGAAAGUGCGGGUAUCGAACAGGAUUAGAUACCCUGGUAGUCCGCGCGGUAAACGAUGGAUGCCCGCUGUUGGCCUGAAUAGGUCAGCGGCCAAGCGAAAACAUUAAGCAUCCCACCUGGGGAGUACGCCGGCAACGGUGCAACUCAAAUG
This 913-nucleotide ribosomal RNA is filed under the name uncultured bacterium. Its description in RNAcentral is "bacterial SSU rRNA". It matches the Rfam family "Bacterial small subunit ribosomal RNA", at positions 1 to 907 of the family's 1533-position model. The record is from RNAcentral. RNAcentral also lists the same sequence under 1 other name.